AUGGGGUUAUGGCUCAGUGGUAGAGCACUCACCUUGCAUGUGUGAAGCCCUGGGUUUGAUCCCCAGCACCACAUA
Molecule: transfer RNA, 75 nt
Filed under: Marmota monax (woodchuck)
Lineage: Eukaryota; Metazoa; Chordata; Mammalia; Rodentia; Sciuridae
Description: tRNA.Ala
Rfam family: tRNA
About the family: Transfer RNA (tRNA) molecules are approximately 80 nucleotides in length. Their secondary structure includes four short double-helical elements and three loops (D, anti-codon, and T loops).
Source: RNAcentral